This 754-nucleotide ribosomal RNA is filed under the name uncultured bacterium. Its description in RNAcentral is "bacterial SSU rRNA". It matches the Rfam family "Bacterial small subunit ribosomal RNA", at positions 28 to 776 of the family's 1533-position model. The record is from RNAcentral.
GAUGAACGCUAGCGACCGUCUUAACACAUGCAAGUCGAGGGGCAGCGGGGGUAGCAAUACCCGCCGGCGACCGGCGCACGGGUGAGUAACGCGUAUGCAACUUACCUAUCAGAGGGGGAUAACCCGGCGAAAGUCGGACUAAUACCGCAUGAAGCAGGGGCCCCGCAUGGGGAUAUUUGCUAAAGAUUCAUCGCUGAUAGAUAGGCAUGCGUUCCAUUAGGCAGUUGGCGGGGUAACGGCCCACCAAACCGACGAUGGAUAGGGGUUCUGAGAGGAAGGUCCCCCACAUUGGUACUGAGACACGGACCAAACUCCUACGGGAGGCAGCAGUGAGGAAUAUUGGUCAAUGGGCGUAAGCCUGAACCAGCCAAGUCGCGUGAGGGAUGAAGGUUCUAUGGAUCGUAAACCUCUUUUAUAAGGGAAUAAAGUGUGGGACGUGUCCUAUUUUGUAUGUACCUUAUGAAUAAGGAUCGGCUAACUCCGUGCCAGCAGCCGCGGUAAUACGGAGGAUCCGAGCGUUAUCCGGAUUUAUUGGGUUUAAAGGGUGCGUAGGCGGCCUUUUAAGUCAGCGGUGAAAGUCUGUGGCUCAACCAUAGAAUUGCCGUUGAAACUGGGAGGCUUGAGUAUGUUUGAGGCAGGCGGAAUGCGUGGUGUAGCGGUGAAAUGCAUAGAUAUCACGCAGAACCCCGAUUGCGAAGGCAGCCUGCCAAGCCAUGACUGACGCUGAUGCACGAAAGCGUGGGGAUCAAACAGG